Molecule: ribosomal RNA, 338 nt
Filed under: Gammarus lacustris
Lineage: Eukaryota; Metazoa; Arthropoda; Malacostraca; Amphipoda; Gammaridae
Description: partial 16S ribosomal RNA
Rfam family: Bacterial large subunit ribosomal RNA
Source: RNAcentral
GUGCUAAGGUAGCAUAAUCAUUUGCUACUUAAUUGGUAGCUGGAAUGAAAGGUUAAACUAGCUUACUCAGUUUGUUGUGUUUUGUAAGAAAUUAAAGUCGAGGUAAGAAUUCUUUGAUCUGCUAGGGGACGAUAAGACCCUAGAAGCUUAACAAUAAGAGUAUUUAUUAGUUAUAAAAAUUAAUUUGUUUUACUGGGGCGGUAGAGGUAUAUGAACUAUUAGCUAUUGAUAGAUCCUUAAAAUAAAGAUAAAACGGGAAAGUUACUCUAGGGGUAACAGUGCAAUAUUUUUGGAGAGAUCAUAUCGAUAAAAAUGUUUGCAACCUCGAUGUUGAAUUA